AACGAACGCUGGCGGCAUGCCUAACACAUGCAAGUCGAACGAGACCUUCGGGUCUAGUGGCGCACGGGUGCGUAACGCGUGGGAAUCUGCCCUUGGGUUCGGAAUAACAGUUGGAACGACUGCUAAUACCGGAUGAUGACGUAAGUCCAAAGAUUUAUCGCCCAGGGAUGAGCCCGCGUAGGAUUAGCUUGUUGGUGGGGUAAAGGCCUACCAAGGCGACGAUCCUUAGCUGGUCUGAGAGGAUGAUCAGCCACACUGGGACUGAGACACGGCCCAGACUCCUACGGGAGGCAGCAGUGGGGAAUAUUGGACAAUGGGCGAAAGCCUGAUCCAGCAAUGCCGCGUGAGUGAUGAAGGCCUUAGGGUUGUAAAGCUCUUUUACCCGGGAUGAUAAUGACAGUACCGGGAGAAUAAGCCCCGGCUAACUCCGUG
This 432-nucleotide ribosomal RNA is filed under the name uncultured bacterium. Its description in RNAcentral is "partial 16S ribosomal RNA". It matches the Rfam family "Bacterial small subunit ribosomal RNA", at positions 29 to 507 of the family's 1533-position model. The record is from RNAcentral.